RNAcentral lists this ribosomal RNA (933 nucleotides) under Triticum aestivum (bread wheat). RNAcentral's name for it is "partial small subunit ribosomal RNA". The record is from RNAcentral. Lineage: Eukaryota; Viridiplantae; Streptophyta; Magnoliopsida; Poales; Poaceae.
AUGGAGUUCAUCGACGACGACUGGGACUCCCAGCCGCGCGCGCGCGUCGUCCACUCCCGCGCCGAUGCCGCCGCCAAUUCCUCAUCCCCCACUGCGAAUCCCGCGUCCCGCUCUCUCCCCCACGUCGCCGCCUGCGCCGCUGCAGCCGUGCUCCUCCUCGCCGCAGCCUACUCCCUCGACUCGGCCUACCAGGUCUUCGCCUCCAUUCUCGUUUGGAUCGCAUCCUCGCUGCUCCUCGCCCCCUUCGCGCCAUCCUCCGCCACCGGCGGCGACAUCUCCGUCGGCCGCGGCAGCCUCCUCCCCGACCAGGAACCGUCCCAGGAGCCCACCCCGGACCCCAUCGCCCCCUCCCGCCGGGGUCGCCGCCAGAACGCCGCCCCGCCGCCCCCAAAGUCGUCAGAUCCGGUCGCUCCUCCCGUCCAGCCGCCUCCACGGCGGCAGGAGGCGAUGGGUGCGGGGACCGCUGUUCUGGACGGCGUGGAGAGGGAGGAGGUUGGCGAGUGGACCGACCAAGAAAUGGAGCUUCUCCGGCGGCAGAUGCUGAAGCACCCGGCAGGAGAGCCCCAACGCUGGGAGAAGAUCGCCACAGUGUUCGGCGGCCGCCGCACGCCGGAGAGCGUCAUCCGCGCAGCAAAGUCAGGCGGCGCCGCGGCGGCUGGUGGCUCGUUUGAGCAGUUCCUGCGCAAGCGAAAGCCGCUGGACCCAAGGGCCGGGGCCGCUGACGCUGACACAGGUGGCAAUGCUGGAGGAGGGGACGGUGGUUGGAGUGCUGGCGAGGACCGUUCUCUGCUGAACGCGCUCAAGGAGUUCCCUAAGGACACGGCAAUGAGGUGGGAGAAGGUGGCCGCAGCAGUGCCUGGGAAGACAAAGGCCGGGUGCAUGAAGAGGGUCACCGAACUCAAGCGUGACUUUCGGAGCAGCAAGGAGCCAUAG